RNAcentral lists this transfer RNA (75 nucleotides) under Felis catus (domestic cat). It matches the Rfam family "tRNA". Rfam says of the family: Transfer RNA (tRNA) molecules are approximately 80 nucleotides in length. Their secondary structure includes four short double-helical elements and three loops (D, anti-codon, and T loops). Further hydrogen bonds mediate the characteristic L-shaped molecular structure. tRNAs have two regions of fundamental functional importance: the anti-codon, which is responsible for specific mRNA codon recognition, and the 3' end, to which the tRNAs corresponding amino acid is attached (by aminoacyl-tRNA synthetases). tRNAs cope with the degeneracy of the genetic code in two manners: having more than one tRNA (with a specific anti-codon) for a particular amino acid; and 'wobble' base-pairing, i.e. permitting non-standard base-pairing at the 3rd anti-codon position. Lineage: Eukaryota; Metazoa; Chordata; Mammalia; Carnivora; Felidae. The record is from Rfam by way of RNAcentral.
GCCUGGGUGGCUCAGUCGGUUGAGCAUCCGACUUCGGCUCAGAUCGGUUUGUGAGUUUGAGCCCCAUGUCAGGCU